UACAAAGACUUAUACAUUUUAAAUCCUUUAAUAAUAUUGUAUACAAGCAUACGAAUAGAACAUUGAACCAAAUGGCAUCUAAUUUUUUUAUGUAUGUUUUAGAAAUACAGUCCAUUUUAGUAAUACGAGCUGAAAUGGACACAAUCCGCCUAAUUUUGUUUGGAAUCCUACUUUUUGACGAAAUUUUAAACGGACUGACGACCUGGCGAAACCUCAUUAGUUGCCUUUAUGACUGGCAGAAUGGCCGUGGAAGUAUUGUUGUCAUCUAUCCGUGGGGAUAAAAAAAUGUCCAAGUUCAGUUAUAAAAUUUUAUAACGUUAAAAUUUCGAUUUUUUACCGCUUCCUCUUAUAGGAAAAAGGAAAAUUUUUUCACUUUCUAAGGAUAAUCUCGAAAAAUAAACGAUUUGCGAUCUUAUGAUGCAUCAAUAAGCAUGAUUGGUUCACAAGAGCUCAAAAUUUCUAGUGAAAAACAUUAAAAAAAAAUAAUAACUACUUAAAUUAAUAUAACUUGGCAUCGACGAUAAAAUAAUUAACAAUAUUAUUACUUAAUAAAUAAUUACAGAUAACAGUCUAUCGAAUUUAUUUUGUUUCAAUUGUCUGUACAAUCAUGAAUAGAAUACCUUUUCUUGUACUUAGUUUAAUAGAUUAUGUAGAUUGACUCUUUAGAUAUUAAAUAUAAGAUAGCUGUGAAAACUUCUAAUUGGCGACCUAUAAUAUUUUUAAGUUAGAUAAAAUAAUUGACAGAUGUCUCAGACUUUACUCAUCUUCAUACGGUAUUGUCCAAAAAUAAUAAGAAUAGUAGUGGUUAUUGUAAAGUCCUUUAUUAUACUAUAAAUAAAUUGUGGAUGUCUAAAUUUUUAGAAAAAAAUGUCGAAAUUUACCCAUUUUAAAAAUCGUAAUUUUUUAGUGGAUAUCGCCCAUUUACGGGGAACCAGAAGAAAAUUGUCAAUUUUUAAGGGUAAUGUCUUCAACUUGUGAUCUUCUGACGUAUUUUUGAGAAUAUUUGGUUCAGUGAGAGGUGAGAAAAAUUAUUGACAAACAUAAAAAAAAUAAAAAUAUAUUCUUGGAAAAAUUAUUACCUUCUCAUCUUCGCAUCGAAGCAAAAAUUAAUACAAUAUUUAUAUUAUUUUGGGAAAUGUUAUCAAUUCUCAUACAAUAUUUUAUUUGGCAUAACUUAAACAAAUAACAAGAAGAAUUUAAUAAAUGUCUGAGUAAUUAUUUUACGAUGAAAAAUCAUUUAUGAAGGGCAAGGUUAAAAUAUAAUUCGUUAGAAACAAUUUUUUUUAGAAAAAUUGGAAAUGAUAGAUUUGAUAAUGAUUUUUUACAAUUGCCAUCCAGAGCGCAAACUCUGUAAAUAUUAAUUUUUUCAUACUCGUCGAAAAUAGAUAAUUUCAAUAUUUUUAUAAUCAAUUAAAAUCUGUAAAAUCAUGAAAGGUCUAUAAGUAUUUGCGGUGGAGCUGGUGCUUAACUAUGGUUUUAAUACUACAUAAAACAAACGUUCGUCGUUAAUAAAUCAAUAUGAUGGUAUUGCAUAAAAAAGUAAGGCAAGUACACAACCUGUUUUGUUAUCGAUUAUAACACGAUGGAAAUACUUUCAAUAAUGGACACUCACACUAAUAAUCAUUUACUUCUCAGCAACGACAUUGCGUUACACAAAAAACCACAAAAUUGCCUAUAUUUGACCCUUUAAAAAAAGUUGAUACCCAGAUGCCUUAAAGUAAAGUAAUGGAAUA
Long non-coding RNA from Daktulosphaira vitifoliae (grape phylloxera), 1733 nucleotides. RefSeq lists it as uncharacterized. Lineage: Eukaryota; Metazoa; Arthropoda; Insecta; Hemiptera; Phylloxeridae. The transcript is spliced from 3 exons. The record is from RefSeq and is a predicted model, not a curated record.